GGGGGGAAUUUUGGACAAUGGGGGCAACCCUGAUCCAGCCAUGCCGCGUGCGGGAAGAAGGCCUUCGGGUUGUAAACCGCUUUUAGCCGGGAAGAAAAGGCGCGGGCUAACACCUUGCGUUCUUGACGGUACCGGCGGAAUAAGCACCGGCUAACUACGUGCCAGCAGCCGCGGUAAUACGUAGGGUGCGAGCGUUAAUCGGAAUUACUGGGCGUAAAGCGUGCGCAGGCGGUUCGUUAAGUCUGAUGUGAAAGCCCCGGGCUCAACCUGGGAAUGGCAUUGGAUACUGGCGGGCUUGAGUGUGGCGAGAGGGGGGUGGAAUUCCGGCGUGUAGCAGUGAAAUGCGUAGAGAUGCGGAGGAACACCGGAUGGCGAAGGCAGCCCCCGUGGGCUGACACUGAC
Molecule: ribosomal RNA, 402 nt
Filed under: uncultured bacterium
Lineage: Bacteria
Description: bacterial SSU rRNA
Rfam family: Bacterial small subunit ribosomal RNA
Source: RNAcentral